Molecule: long non-coding RNA, 639 nt
Filed under: Homo sapiens (human)
Lineage: Eukaryota; Metazoa; Chordata; Mammalia; Primates; Hominidae
Description: long intergenic non-protein coding RNA 3002
Source: RNAcentral
AUCGAGCCUUCCUGUGCCACAGCAACAGAGCUCCAGUUGUGUCUUGUAAGAAUUGGUCAUUGUUUCAUGGGGACGACUGGCUCCUUUGGGUGGGAUCUGAUGGCAUCUCAUGGAGUUGAGAGAAGACUGAUGUCAACUUUUGUCUCGUAAUACACGAAUCUAUGAGUUUCUCUCAGAAAAUGGUUGUCUGCCAACGCUAACUGGCCAGCUCUGACAGGAGGUGCGUGGCCCAGGAGGAGCCAUCAGGCCAGUUCUCUGGGAUACUGCUGUGUCUCCAGCUCUGCAGUUUGCUCUUCGUCACUCAGCGGCAGACGGAGAGGCAGACACGAGCCCCUUGUGAGCCCUCCUCCUUACCGUCAUCUCACAAUGCUCUGAAAUAAGGAGGCAAAUGGCUGAGGUCCCCUCAGUUGUAGAUGUGAUUGAGUUCUAUCUACCAGAAGCAUAUGCCUCCUGGAAGCCUGGUUCUAACACCUCCCACAAAAUCCUUCAAGCACUUUUUUCUGUUCCAAGGUUUGCUUAUGGGGGACCCAGUGAAGUGCUUCAGAGCCCUAGAGAUUUGCUGAGUCAUAUGAGGGGUCAGCAAACUUUUCCUGUAAAGGGUCAGAUAAUAAACAUUUUAAGCUUUGUAGACUGUAUAAA